GGCGGAUUAGCUCAGCUGGUUAGAGCGGUGGAAUCAUAAUCCAUGUGUCCGGGGUUCGAGUCCCUGAUCCGCCACCA
This 77-nucleotide transfer RNA is filed under the name Pseudomonadota bacterium. RNAcentral describes it as "tRNA-Met". It matches the Rfam family "tRNA". From Rfam's summary of the family: Transfer RNA (tRNA) molecules are approximately 80 nucleotides in length. Their secondary structure includes four short double-helical elements and three loops (D, anti-codon, and T loops). Further hydrogen bonds mediate the characteristic L-shaped molecular structure. tRNAs have two regions of fundamental functional importance: the anti-codon, which is responsible for specific mRNA codon recognition, and the 3' end, to which the tRNAs corresponding amino acid is attached (by aminoacyl-tRNA synthetases). tRNAs cope with the degeneracy of the genetic code in two manners: having more than one tRNA (with a specific anti-codon) for a particular amino acid; and 'wobble' base-pairing, i.e. permitting non-standard base-pairing at the 3rd anti-codon position. Lineage: Bacteria; Pseudomonadati; Pseudomonadota. RNAcentral also lists the same sequence under 1 other name. The record is from RNAcentral.